This 408-nucleotide ribosomal RNA is filed under the name uncultured Methylomirabilota bacterium. Its description in RNAcentral is "bacterial SSU rRNA". It matches the Rfam family "Bacterial small subunit ribosomal RNA", at positions 1027 to 1434 of the family's 1533-position model. Lineage: Bacteria; Methylomirabilota (SeqCode). The record is from RNAcentral.
CGUGGAGACAGGUGGUGCAUGGCUGUCGUCAGCUCGUGUCGUGAGAUGUUGGGUUAAGUCCCGCAACGAGCGCAACCCUUACCCCUUGUUGCCAUCAGGUCGUGCUGGGCACUCUAGGGGAACUGCCCCGGUCAACGGGGAGGAAGGUGGGGACGACGUCAAGUCAUCAUGCCCCUUACGUCCUGGGCUACACACGUGCUACAAUGGCCGGUACAAAGGGAUGCAAAAUCGCGAGGUGGAGCCAAACCCAGAAAGCCGGUCUAAGUUCAGAUUGGAGUCUGCAACUCGACUCCAUGAAGGAGGAAUCGCUAGUAAUCGCGCAUCAGCACGGCGCGGUGAAUACGUUCCCGGGCCUUGUACACACCGCCCGUCACACCACGAAAGCCAGCUGUACUCGAAGUCGCUGAG